CCUCGCGCCGGGUGCCGGCGUGCAGCACGUACGCGUGCGGGGCGUCCUGCGCGGCCACCUCGUCGAGGCCGGUGAUCGGGUCGCCGGUGCGCGGG
Molecule: transfer RNA, 95 nt
Filed under: Streptomyces fumanus
Lineage: Bacteria; Bacillati; Actinomycetota; Actinomycetes; Kitasatosporales; Streptomycetaceae
Also listed under: 1 other name
Description: tRNA-Arg(gcg)
Source: RNAcentral